This 229-nucleotide unclassified non-coding RNA is filed under the name Hevea brasiliensis (rubber tree). The record is from RNAcentral. Lineage: Eukaryota; Viridiplantae; Streptophyta; Magnoliopsida; Malpighiales; Euphorbiaceae.
UUUUGCUCUCUCGCCAAGAUGUCUGUUACUGAGCCGGCUGUAAUGCUUACUUAUUGAGCUCAGCAGUUUACUAUUUUUAUGCAUUUGUGUGAGAAAUAAGAUUUUCCAUUGAAGUCUUUUAAUAGAAUUGGUCCUGGAGACAGACAAAAUCAGGGAGAAUAAAUUAAUUUUACUUCACUUAAUGAUUGUGCGAGUGCUGAGGAGCCACUCCUCAAAUUGCCAUUCUUAU